Molecule: ribosomal RNA, 274 nt
Filed under: uncultured bacterium
Lineage: Bacteria
Description: partial 16S ribosomal RNA
Rfam family: Bacterial small subunit ribosomal RNA
Source: RNAcentral
AUACGUAGGGUGCGAGCGUUAAUCGGAAUUACUGGGCGUAAAGCGUGCGCAGGCGGCUUUAUAAGCCAGAUGUGAAAUCCCCGGGCUCAACCUGGGAACUGCAUUUGGAACUGUAAGGCUAGAGUACGGCAGAGGGGGGUAGAAUUCCACGUGUAGCAGUGAAAUGCGUAGAUAUGUGGAGGAAUACCGAUGGCGAAGGCAGCCCCCUGGGUCGAUACUGACGCUCAUGCACGAAAGCGUGGGGAGCAAACAGGAUUAGAAACCCGAGUAGUCC